RNAcentral lists this ribosomal RNA (253 nucleotides) under uncultured bacterium. RNAcentral's name for it is "partial 16S ribosomal RNA". It matches the Rfam family "Bacterial small subunit ribosomal RNA", at positions 524 to 776 of the family's 1533-position model. The record is from RNAcentral.
GACGGGGGAUGCAAGCGUUAUCCGGCCUCACUGGGCGUAAAGCGUCUGUAGGUGGUGAUGCAAGUCACUGGUGCAAAACUCUGGCUCAACCGGAGGAAAGCCAGUGAAACUGCAUGACUAGAGUGUGGGAGAGGUAGAAGGAAUUCCCUGAGUAGCGGUGAAAUGCGUAGAUACAGGGAAGAACACCGGAGGCGAAAGCGUUCUACUGGAACACAACUGACACUGAGAGACGAAAGCUAGGGGAGCGAAGGGG